AGAACGAACGUUGGCGGCGUGGAUUAGGCAUGCAAGUCGAACGAAUCCCCGUGGGGGUAACUCUGCGGGGGGAAGUGGCGAACGGGGCAGUAAGGCGUGGGUAACCUACCCUGGGGACGGGGAUAGCCUUCCUAACGGAAGGGUAAUACCCGGCGACGUAGCGAGGGCGCAUGCCCUUGUUACCAAAUGAGUUUCGCCCUGGGAGGGGCUCACGUGGUAUUAGCUGGACGGCGGGGUAACGGCCCACCGUGGCCAAGAUGCCUAGCAGGUGUGAGAGCACGACCUGCGCCACUGGCACUGUGACACUGGCCAGACUCCUACGGGAGGCUGCAGUCGAGGAUCUUCGGCAAUGGGCGCAAGCCUGACCGAGCGACGCCGCGUGUGCGAUGAAGGCCUUCGGGUUGUAAAGCACUGUCGAGGGAAGAAAGCCGCAAGGGUUGAUCGACCCUGGAGGAGCACGGGCUAAGUUCGUGCCAGCAGCCGC
Molecule: ribosomal RNA, 484 nt
Filed under: uncultured bacterium
Lineage: Bacteria
Description: SSU rRNA
Rfam family: Bacterial small subunit ribosomal RNA
Source: RNAcentral